GUACACACCGCCCGUCGCUACUACCGAUUGAACGAUCCGGUGAAAUCUUGGGAUUGAAGGGUAUGCCUUGGGGCAACUCAAGUGCGACUCUUUGAGAACUUGCUUAAACCUUAUCGUUUAGAGGAAGGAGAAGUCGUAACAAGGUAUCCGUAGGUGAACCUGCAGAAGGAUCA
Molecule: ribosomal RNA, 173 nt
Filed under: uncultured eukaryote
Lineage: Eukaryota
Description: partial small subunit ribosomal RNA
Rfam family: Eukaryotic small subunit ribosomal RNA
Source: RNAcentral